RNAcentral lists this unclassified non-coding RNA (200 nucleotides) under Mortierellaceae sp. Its description in RNAcentral is "partial internal transcribed spacer 2". The record is from RNAcentral. Lineage: Eukaryota; Fungi; Mortierellomycota; Mortierellomycetes; Mortierellales; Mortierellaceae. RNAcentral also lists the same sequence under 1 other name.
UUAAGUUCAGCGGGUAGUCUUACUUGAUUUGAGAUCGAGUUGAACAACACAUAAAGUGUCGUAAAAUCCUGCAUCAGUCAGCAAUGAGGACAAUUAUCCUUUAUGUUAGCUGCAGCAAUAGUAAUAAUCCUGUUUGACGAGGACUAAAUAGAUAUGCUUUUAGCUCAGAUAAAAGUCCAGCUGCACCUGCAUUUCAAGCC